RNAcentral lists this ribosomal RNA (292 nucleotides) under uncultured bacterium. RNAcentral's name for it is "partial 16S ribosomal RNA". It matches the Rfam family "Bacterial small subunit ribosomal RNA", at positions 505 to 796 of the family's 1533-position model. The record is from RNAcentral.
GUGCCAGCAGCCGCGGUAAUACAGAGGGUGCAAACGUUGUUCGGAAUUACUGGGCGUAAAGCGCGUGCAGGCGGCCUUGCAAGUCGGACGUGAAAUCCCACGGCUCAACCGUGGAAGUGCAUUCGAAACUGCGAGGCUGGAGUCCUGGAGAGGAAAGUGGAAUACUCGGUGUAGAGGUGAAAUUCGUAGAUAUCGAGUGGAACACCGGUGGCGAAGGCGGCUUUCUGGACAGGUACUGACGCUGAGACGCGAAAGCGUGGGGAGCAAACAGGAUUAGAUACCCUCGUAGUCC